RNAcentral lists this ribosomal RNA (408 nucleotides) under uncultured bacterium. Its description in RNAcentral is "partial 16S ribosomal RNA". It matches the Rfam family "Bacterial small subunit ribosomal RNA", at positions 28 to 526 of the family's 1533-position model. The record is from RNAcentral.
GACGAACGCUGGCGGCGUGCCUAACACAUGCAAGUCGAACGCAGUGGCGAACGGGUGAGUAAUACGUGAGUAACCUGCCCUCCUUUUUGGGAUAAGCCUUGGAAACGUGGUCUAAUACCGAAUAUAGGGGGAUGGGCUCGCGGCCUAGCAGCUUGUUGGGGGGGUGAUGGCCUACCAAGGCGGUGACGGGUGGCCGGCCUGAGAGGGUGACCGGCGACAUUGGGACUGAGAUACGGCCCAGACGCCGACGGGAGGCGGCAGUGGGGGAUAUGGGACAAGGGGCGAAAGCCUGAUGCAGCGACGCCGCGUGGGGGAUGAAGGCUUUCGGGUUGUAAACCUCUUUCGCUAUCGAAGGGGUAGGUGGAGAAGAAGCGCCGGCUAACUACGUGCCAGCCGCCGCGGUAAUAC